RNAcentral lists this long non-coding RNA (959 nucleotides) under Pan troglodytes (chimpanzee). RNAcentral describes it as "lincRNA". Lineage: Eukaryota; Metazoa; Chordata; Mammalia; Primates; Hominidae. The record is from RNAcentral.
AAGCAGGAGGAGGCAGAGGCGGUCCGGGCCGGGCCUGACCCCUGCGUCCCGGGGGCACAGGCGUUCUUAAGGCUGCAGAGCCCUGGGUCCCCCACCCGGCCCCGGUUCACUUUGAGCGGUCCCAAGGCCUGAGGGCCUACUGUCCAGUCCCCGGGUUAUCGUCCUGAGCAAAGACAGACCCCGAGCCCUGCGGUCUUGGGGCUCAAACAGUCCCUGGAUGGCCAAACAAGCGAAUAUUCGCCAUGGCAGUGGGUGCUGGAAGGGUGGCUCACGGAGCUGACGCCCUCUGCAGAGAACCGUGGUCUAGUCCUGCGGUCACGAGGCCUAUCUGGGACAGUGGUGUUUGAGCUGAGACUUUAACGAAUAGAGACAGGUGAGGUUCCUGCAGCCCAGGGCAUCAGUGUGAACAACCCCAGAAGGAAAAAGAGUGCUGUUGUUAAAGGUAUCUGGCAUCGUGGACCCAACCAUCACCAGGAGUUUCUCACUUCAUCUCUGUGUGAUAAAUUUUGACAUAUGUAUACAUCCAUGAAGCCGGCACCACAAUCAAGAUAAUGAACAUCUCGCUUACCGCAGAAGUUUCCUGUGCCCUCUCACUCCUCCGUAUUCCUCCAUCCUCAGGAUUUCAUCAAAUGGUCUGCUGCACUGUGCUGGAAUUUUGAACUCCCCAGAGUAGUAAACAACAUCUUCUCAAGGGUAUACAAAUCAUCAGAUAGAGAAAACACCCAUUAUAGAGCUGUGGAGCCCUUACGAUAUAGUGCUAUGCUGCAACAAAGUAGACAGAAGAGUAUUUGUUGAAUAAUAAAAGGUAUCAAUGAAUGAACAAAUAAACUAAUGAGCUGAUGUAUUGAUUAAAUGAAUUUACUUCUUUCAGAUUUACUUUUCCAAACUAAAAAAGAUUGUUUUAAACUUUGUUCCAAAGUUAUACAGUUUUUACAAAAAUAAACAGUUUUAUUUUUGAA